UUUUAUUCUUCAAUUGAUCAAACCACCUAUUGGUAAAAGCCCAAACUACCCUUCAACAAGUUGUAUUUGCGGCCCCAACAGCUAGUCUUAAAUAGUUACAACCACUCACCCAAACCUCACUUAAACAAGUUUAAUUCACUCACAAAUAAAACCUAAAAUUAGGUGUGAAAUCAAACAAAGAAUACUUUAAAAAAAUAGUUUGCAACUCCCUACCCUACAAAAUGUUCACCUUGAUUGUGCAAUAUACUGCCUAUUUAUAGGCAUCCUAGGUGGUUCACGCAAUUGUACACAAUCGUUAUUAAGUAAUAAGUAAGUAAAAGAGUUAUCAUCUCCACAGGGACUGUGUUUAAAUCGAUAAUUGCAAAAUUACUAUUCAUAAGUUGGUAAAGAAACACAAUAAUUUGGAGUGAUAGAUGUUAAAUUAAAUUAAUUAACUAAAUGCAAAUUAAUCCUAAAUGCAAAUAAGAUGAAGUAGAAUGCAAGGCGAUGGUUUAGCAACAAUAUCACUUGUUUAACAACAAUAACAUGAAUAAGCUAGAAUAAUUACAAUACUUGACUCAAUCUAUUCUCAUCAUGUUUAACAAUGUUCCGGAAAAAUUCCAUGGCAACUCGAUCAUUCAUUAACUUGGAAUAUGAUAUAAGUUCUUUCGAAAUCUUAUACUUAUAAAAACAUGUAUAUUUCUGUGUCCAUAUUUUACUAAGGGUUCCUUAGAAUUUAUGUGAAGUAACAUGGACGGAUCACAUUUGAAACAACUUAAUCAUACAAACCUAAAGUAAUGCAAGGUAAUAGAGCUCUCUCGAGUUAUUACGAACCUUUAAUUUAGUCAGAUCAAGAACUAAAUUAAGCAAACACCUUCCAAUUAUUGUUCCAUUAAUUACCAUCUGGUCAGGAUUGAUCAACUAAUUUUAAUACAUCCAAACAUGUUUUAGUGCAUGAAAUACAUAAAUUAUUAUAAUUGGAAGCAUGACCAACUAAGACAUAGGACAUCAUAAACAUGAGUCAAAUGAAUUUUAUCAAAUUAUUGCAAUAAUUCCAGCUAAAAAAAUUUAAGCCAUCAUUGUUAAUGGAAAUACAAUUAAACAAUUUGCAAACAUAUUUGAAUAACUAAGAACAAAAAUAAAGAAUAAGGAAGAAGAAACUCUUGAUGAUUUCAAUGAUUCUCCAAAGAUCGAUCGUGGUGGCUUUCUCCAAUUCUCAUGAUUGCUCUUUUGCAAAUUGCUCAUCAAUGUGGCUGGUCAAGAGAUUUUUUCUCAAGGGAAAUUCCAGCUAAAGGGAAGUGGGGAAAUGGAUGGCUUAUGCGUGGAAAAGAGGAAAGAAAGAUGAUAGAAAUGUGAAUUAAGGGAUGAGGGGUGAAUGAAAUGGAAGAUGAGGAGUGGUAUUUAUAGUAGAGGAAUGACUUGGAAGUUUGCUAAAAAUAGCAUAGAGAUCCCACAAUUUGCUCCCUUGCUUGGUCAGCCAUAAAAUGUGGGAUGGGAGGUUGUUGGUUCUUGAUUUGGUGACCAAUUCUCUCUUAAUUCAUGGCAUGGGCUGGUUAGCA
This 1538-nucleotide long non-coding RNA is filed under the name Gossypium barbadense (sea-island cotton). Its description in RNAcentral is "long non-coding RNA (GBAR_LNC014288)". Lineage: Eukaryota; Viridiplantae; Streptophyta; Magnoliopsida; Malvales; Malvaceae. The record is from RNAcentral.